This is a non-coding RNA of Pelobates cultripes (western spadefoot toad), 418 nucleotides long. The record is from the annotation of a GenBank genome assembly. NCBI's taxonomy places the organism in Eukaryota, Metazoa, Chordata, Amphibia, Anura, Pelobatidae.
CCAGGUAAGGGAGUGUAUCAAGAUACAUUAUACCACCAGGUAUGGCAGUGUACCGAGAUACAUUAUACCACCAGGUAUGGCAGUGUACCGAGAUACAUUAUACCACCAGGUAUGGCAGUGUACCGAGAUACAUUAUACCACCAGGUAUGGCAGUGUACCGAGAUACAUUAUACCACCAGGUAUGGCAGUGUACAGAGAUACAUUAUACCACCAGGUAAGGCAGUGUACCGAGAUACAUUAUACCACCAGGUAUGGCAGUGUACCGAGAUACAUUAUACCAAUAGGUAUGGCAGUGUACCGAGAUACAUUAUACCACCAGGUAUGGCAGUGUACCGAGAUACAUUAUACCACCAGGUAUGGCAGUGUACAGAGAUACAUUAUACCACCAGGUAUGGCAGUGUACCGAGAUACAUUAUAC